GCAUCUCUCUUGUCUACCUACGGAACUCAUCUGGAUAAAGCUGGUUCUGUGGUUACCAGCUCGGCACAACGUGACAUUGUGAGCCAAAGGUGUGCGUACCGAGGAAGGCACGCAGCCUCCAUCCCCACCGCCCUCAAGAGCCCACCACCACCAAACCCUGCUCAUGCGCAGAGGCCGGACCGCAGGGCGGUGCAAACCCCGGAACUAUUUGUAAUAUGCCCUUCCUCCCGUUCUUUUAUGUCUAUAUGUUUAUCCCUAACGGUGCUGAGCGCGCAAGCUAGGUGGAGCUAGCCCCAUGGCGCCCGGCGUGUGUGCGUAGCGCUGGAUAAACAUUCCUGGUUUAUAACCGUCCCGAGGCUAUAGGGGCUGAUUUCCCCAACUCGAUUGGCACCCCAGCUGGGACCUUCCUUACAGGUCCAUCGGGGUCGGUUAGGGUAGGGACCCUCCUUGGCGAGCCCCGGGGAUUUCCCGGCGGAGGCCCCGUCCCUGAGCGACCACCGUGGGCUAAGGCAAGGAGAAGGCUGGUAGUGGCCCAGCCAGAGAACCAGGAGAUGAGCCUGAAAGGGAGGGAUGCUCCCCAACACCUCCUGGCAGUCCCGGCAGUCCCACGGCACCAAGAACCAGAAAACAACAAGGGGUAAUUCAAGCUCUGCUAAGGGAAGCGGUAGGACCGGAAGGGGGACCGGUUCUUAUCAAAGUACCGUUUUCCUCUUUUGACUUAGAAACUUAGAAGGGGGUGGCGAAAGGGUAUCGUAAUGACCCUCUGGGAGUGGCCUGCCAUGUCCAAUUUCUAAUCAAACAGCACGAGCCCGACUGGGGUGACAUACAAUUACUAUUGGACCAUAUGACCGAAACAGAAAAACAGUUAAUUCUUAAAACGUCUCUGGAUUUGGCCCAAGAUAAGAUGGGAGGGGAUGAUGUUAAGGAACAUUUUCCCUUACAGGACACCCAUUGGGAUCCAAACAGAAUGGCUGAGCGAGGGACGUUAGAUGAUUAUAGGGAUUGGGUUGCGAAAGCAAUGGAGAGGGCGAUUCCAAAAGCUAUAAACUGGUCAACCCUGUAUGCUGUACGGCAGGGACAUAAGGAAUCACCAUCAGAAUUCCUGGAUAAAUUGCGGGAUACUAUGAGGAGACAUACUCCUCUAGACCCCAGAUCCAAAGUGGGAAUACAGCAGUUGGUUUCAUUAUUCAUAGGUCAGUCAGCAACAGAUAUCCUGUUACACUGUUACAUCCCUAACCCCCCUUGAUGAUGAUUUUGUUACUGUAAAAGGAGCAGCUAGCCAGAGUGAAAAGGCAUAUUUCCUUAAACCCCUAAAAUAUACAUCGGGAAAACAAGUGAGAAUACACAAAUUCUUGUACAUGCUGAACUCUCCAAAACCUCUGCUGAGAUGGGACUUGCUAGAGCAAUUGGGGGCAGAAAUAAAAUUUGAAUCAGGAAAAAAUGAGUUUAAGGUAAACGAUGACCAAUUAAUAGAGAUAUUAAGUUUAGCUCUUGUCAGCGUCCCAGCUCAGACAGGGGUACCAAAGGGGAUUAAAAACCAGGUUUAUCCAAGGGUGUGGGCUACUGAAACGCCCAGACAAGCCAAAACCACCACCCCCUAUAGUAAUUAGGUUAAAGUCAGGGGUUCAACCUGUAAGGAUAAAGCACUAUCCCUUAAGGAUUGAAGACAGAAAGGGAAUUCAACCGAGAAUUGAUCGAUUUAUCAAAACUGGGCUGCUAAAAGAAUGUGAAUCAGAAUAUAAUACUCCUAUCCUGCCUGUAAAGAAACCAGAUGGGAACUAUCGGAUUGUACAAGAUUUGAGGGAUGUAAAUAAAAUAGCUGAAGAUUUGCACCCAUUGGUGAGAAAUCCGUACACUUUGCUCUUAAAAUUAAUUGAUGAAUUGGCUUGGUUUACCGUGUUGGAUCUAAAGGAUGCCUUCUUCUGCCUAUCCCUUGCCUCAGACAGUCAGCCUAUUUUUGCAUUUGAAUGGGAAAACUCUGAUUCAGGAAGAAAAACACAACUAACAUGGACUGUACUCUCCCAGGGGUUUAAAAAUAGUCCCACUCUUCUUGGGAAUCAGCUUGCAAAAGAUCUUGAACAAUGGGAGCACCCACCCAGGAAAGGGGUGCUACUACAAUAUGUAGACGACUUACUGAUAGCCACUAGUGAAAAGGAACAAUGAGAAAAUUGGACAGUUAGUUUGUUGAACUUCCUCAGUCUUAAUGGAUAUCGAGUCUCUCCACAGAAAGCCCAGAUUGCCUUGCAACCGGUGACCUAUUUGGGAUAUGAAAUCACUGCUGGGCCGUGAACCCUGGGAACGGCAAGGAAAGGAGCCAUUUGCCAGACUCCUGAGCCAUGAACAGUUAAGGAGCUCCACACGUUCUUGGUGGAAAUUUUGGAGAACCAGUAUCAUAUGGCUGCUUGGAAAUGAUGGAGGCUGUGUAUUUGAGCCAUCUAGACCUGAAAGAAGAACUGUUGGAGGAUGCUGAGGACACCUGGUACACUGAUGGUAGCAGCUUCGUGCAACAGGGCACACGUAGAGCAGGAUAUGCGGUAACAACUACUGACCAGAUUCACCAUUGGAACCUAAGUGGGAGGGCCCGUUCCAAGUGCUGCUGACUUCUCACACUGCUAUCAAGAUAAAAGAACAAGCUCCCUGGAUUCAUCACACCCGGGUUAAGAAGGCACAGAAGCCACCCUGGACAAUUAAGCAAACAGGACCGCUCUGACUAUCGCUCAAGAAACAGAAUGAUUAAUGUUUUAUUUGUAGUAUGGGGCUUAGGGGUUGCCAGGGCAUGGGAGGGAAAUUUACAUUUUAACAACACAGAGGGAAUGGUGAAUGCCUUAAAUCUAUCCUCUUGCUGGACAUGCACAGCCCUUCCCAGAGGGAAUAUGGAAUCUCCCUUUUUCGGAGUUCCAGUGUCCUAUGCAAAUUGGAGUUGGCCAUAUGACAAUCUAAAAAAUUCUACUCUGCCUACUGGGGAAAGCCUGCUCUGGAGGGUGGGGGAAUCCUGCCCUCCAGGACAGCAACUAAGCAAACUUCCAAAUGGGGAGACCCUUUGUUGGGCCUUCUCAUCCCCCUUACCAGCUAGAGGAACCCCGGUGCCAUCUUACACUUGCGGAAACAAUAGCAUUCAUUCUCUUAAAUUUGAGUUACAGGAACUGGGGAAAACAAUAUUUAUACAAAGGAAGAAUGACACUGCCCCAAGAGUGGGACACUUCAAAUUAAGUGCUCUUAAUGGAGCAACCAUAUGCAGCAAGGAUACCCAGUCAAACUCUUCAGGAUGUCCGGCACCAAUCAUGGCAGGACUACUACUCAAUUACUCCUAUAGUUGUGUACCGGAUGGAUUAUGGUGGUUAUGUGGGGAUGGCCAUGCCAGAAAAUCCUUGCCAGACCACUGGGAUGGGACCUGUACCUUGGGGUAUGUUAUUCCUCAGAGCAUAGUGUUUAAUCAGACAAGGCCACCAGCAGGAUUAUUAAGGACAUUGUGGAAAAGGACUAAACGACGCCUUCCAACCCACUAGUCGAUAGGCCAACGGGUUAUCACAGCUUUGUGCGUUGGCUCAUUCUGUCUUCGGGAGUGAGUGUAUUAGAAAAGGCAUUAGUAAAUAUUUCUGCCACAUUGGAGAAAAAAGACAAUUUUACCAUAGACGCACUGAGAGCAUUACAGGUUGAAGUGAGCUCUCUAAAAGUACUGUAGUACUGCAAAAUCAAAUGGCAUUAGACUUGCUGAUGGCCAAAGAAGGCAGAGUGUGCACUGUAAUCAAAGUUGCUGCUCAUACAUAAAACAAGACAAAAGAAUCGAGACAGAUCUUGAGAAAGUUUGGGAACAAUCAAAACACUUCCAUCUAGCAUCGAUGGAUGAUACCAUGUGGGGUUUUACAGAAAUUUGGGAUAAGCUUAUCAGGUAGUUGCCUAAUUUUAGGAUCAAGCAGCUUUCCCUCGCUUGCAUUGCUAUCUUAUUUCUUGGGAUUUUUAUAUUCUGUAUUUUAUGCUGUUUCCUUUUCCUAUGUCAUCAAACCGGGUGUAGCUACAAGGAAUGGAAGAAGCACAGGCUGAGGCAAAGGAUAGAAGAAGGGAAGUAUUUUCUAGAUAGAAACGGGAUAAUCUGUCAAGGAGCUGCUAGAUUAAAAAGAAAAGGGGGAAUUGAGAGAAAGACAGACUGAUUGAUGUCCUUGUAGUGAGGGGCCCAGAACUGAACACAGCACUCGAGGUGCAGCCUCACCAGAGCAGAGCACAGGGGAACCAUCACCUCCCUGCUCCUGCUGGCCGCACUACUCCUGAUGCAAGCCAGGAUGCCACUGGCCUAAGAAGCCUCCCACGUGGGGAGGGCACGGGGGUGUGCUUUAUUAGUAAAUAAAGAUGGGAGCUC
Cygnus atratus (black swan) is the source of this 4354-nucleotide long non-coding RNA. RefSeq lists it as uncharacterized. NCBI's taxonomy places the organism in Eukaryota, Metazoa, Chordata, Aves, Anseriformes, Anatidae. The record is from RefSeq and is a predicted model, not a curated record. The transcript has 3 exons.